This is a long non-coding RNA of Rana temporaria (common frog), 885 nucleotides long. RefSeq lists it as uncharacterized. The record is from RefSeq and is a predicted model, not a curated record. Lineage: Eukaryota; Metazoa; Chordata; Amphibia; Anura; Ranidae. The transcript has 3 exons.
UUUCCCUCUCUCUCCACUCUGCCCACCAUCUUUCCCUCUCUCCACUCUGCCCCCCAGCUUCAUUCUAAUGUCAUAUUGCACUUCCCUUUCCUCUCUCUCUAAAGCCCAAAUGCAGCCUCUCUGCAACGGUUAAUCACUAGUUUUGGAGAGGAGAACCCAUUUUACUUAACAGUCCACCCAUUCUAUCCCCCAGUGGACUGUUCUUUGGCAUCCUGACAUCCAAUGCAGGACUAUGGACCCUGCUCUGGUCUUGAUGCCAUCAAUAUCCUUUGGAGUGUUGGGGUGAAGAUGCUGCAGGGACCAGUCCAGCUGCGAGGAGGAGGAUCAGACCUCAGGAUCAAAGAGUGUAUGACAGAAAUCCUGUAAUGUCUGCAGCAACCAAACGGACAAUCUUUUCCAUGUUUCCAAGUCACGUCACGUGAGAAUCUGGACCCUCAUGGAAGGAGGAUUGCUGUGCCAUAUCAGACCGUCCCCUCUGAAGCUAGUUGGCAUGAUUCCCUGAAUGGGUCACUUGCAACAUUUGAUAUUAAAACAGAAGAUCUACUACAUCUUACACAAGAACAUAGAUUGGAAGGUGUCUGGGGGACAUGGUGGGUCACAUUACAGGGUCAUCUGUAUGGUUGUGGGGGGCAUUUAUUGUAGGGUGCCCCUUAUGAUAGGAACAGAUGGGGAAUUCAUAUAUUGCAGGUUGUUGGGUACAGGUGCCAAAGGUAGAGGGAGUCACAGAUUGCAGGUUGAUCCUUAAGAAAGGUAAGAGGGGAGUGAUCAUCACAGAUUAGGGGGGUGCCCAUUACAAGAUACAUAAAGUGAUGACAGGCCUUUACCGUUCUUGAUAGUCAGUAAUGUAAAAAUGUUUACUAAAUUAUAUUCCUGUCUUUUGUAAAA